RNAcentral lists this ribosomal RNA (486 nucleotides) under uncultured Arthrobacter sp. RNAcentral describes it as "partial 16S ribosomal RNA". Lineage: Bacteria; Bacillati; Actinomycetota; Actinomycetes; Micrococcales; Micrococcaceae. The record is from RNAcentral.
CACGUAGUUAGCCGGCGCUUUUUCUGCAGGUACCGUCACUUUCGCUUCUUCCCUACUGAAAGAGGUUUACAACCCGAAGGCCGUCAUCCCUCACGCGGCGUCGCUGCAUCAGGCUUGCGCCCAUUGUGCAAUAUUCCCCACUGCUGCCUCCCGUAGGAGUCUGGGCCGUGUCUCAGUCCCAGUGUGGCCGGUCACCCUCUCAGGCCGGCUACCCGUCGUCGCCUUGGUAAGCCAUUACCUCACCAACAAGCUGAUAGGCCGCGAGUCCAUCCAAAACCACAAUAAAGCUUUCCACCCCCCACCAUGCGAUGAGGAGUCAUAUCCGGUAUUAGACCCAGUUUCCCAGGCUUAUCCCAGAGUUAAGGGCAGGUUACUCACGUGUUACUCACCCGUUCGCCACUAAUCCAGGAGCAAGCUCCCAUCAUCGUUCGACUUGCAUGUGUUAAGCACGCCGCCAGCGUUCAUCCUGAGCCAGGAUCAAACUAC